Molecule: ribosomal RNA, 1479 nt
Filed under: metagenome
Description: bacterial SSU rRNA
Rfam family: Bacterial small subunit ribosomal RNA
Source: RNAcentral
AGAGUUUGAUCCUGGCUCAGGAUGAACGCUAGCGGCAGGCCUAACACAUGCAAGUCGAACGGUAAGGCCCAGCUUGCUGGGUACACGAGUGGCGCACGGGUGAGUAACGCGUAUGCAACCUGCCUCGAACAGGAGGAUAGCCCCGAGAAAUUGGGAUUAAUACUCCAUAACACCAUUUGGUCGCAUGGCCAUUUGGUUAAAGCCCCGGCGGUUCGAGAUGGGCAUGCGUGACAUUAGUUAGUUGGUGGGGUAACGGCCCACCAAGACGGCGAUGUCUAGGGGUUCUGAGAGGACAGUCCCCCACACUGGUACUGAGACACGGACCAGACUCCUACGGGAGGCAGCAGUGAGGAAUAUUGGUCAAUGGGUGCAAGCCUGAACCAGCCAUGCCGCGUGCAGGAUGACUGCCCUAUGGGUUGUAAACUGCUUUUCCUGGGGAAGAACACCCGCCACGUGUGGCGGAUUGACGGUACCCGGGGAAUAAGCACCGGCUAACUCCGUGCCAGCAGCCGCGGUAAUACGGAUGGUGCAAGCGUUAUCCGGAUUUAUUGGUUUUAAAGGGUGCGUAGGCGGGCUAUCAAGUCAGUGGUGAAAUCCCGUGGCUCAACCACGGAACUGCCAUUGAAACUAGUAGCCUUGAGUGCGGUUGAAGUGGAUGGAAUGUGUCAUGUAGCGGUGAAAUGCAUAGAUAUGACACAGAACACCGAUAGCGAAGGCAGUCCACUAAAACCGCCACUGACGCUGAGGCACGAAAGCGUGGGUAGCGAACAGGAUUAGAUACCCUGGUAGUCCACGCCGUAAACGAUGAUAACUCGAUGUGUGCGAUAAACUGUACGCGUCCAAGCGAAAGUGUUAAGUUAUCCACCUGGGAAGUACGUCCGCAAGGAUGAAACUCAAAGGAAUUGACGGGGGCCCGCACAAGCGGAGGAGCAUGUGGUUUAAUUCGAUGAUACGCGAGGAACCUUACCUGGGCUUAAAUGCAAGAUGACUUCGGCCGAAAGGUCGUUUUCUUCGGACAUUUUGCAAGGUGCUGCAUGGUUGUCGUCAGCUCGUGCCGUGAGGUGUCGGGUUAAGUCCCAUAACGAGCGCAACCCCUAUCCUCAGUUGCCAGCACGUAAUGGUGGGGACUCUGGGGGAACUGCCUACGCAAGUAGAGAGGAAGGUGGGGAUGACGUCAAAUCAGCACGGCCCUUAUGUCCAGGGCUACACACGUGCUACAAUGGCCCGUACAGAGGGCCGCUACCUGGCAACAGGAUGCUAAUCUCUAAAACGGGUCUCAGUUCGGAUCGGAGUCUGCAACUCGACUCCGUGAAGUUGGAUUCGCUAGUAAUCGCGUAUCAGCAAUGACGCGGUGAAUACGUUCCCGGGCCUUGUACACACCGCCCGUCAAGCCAUGGGAGUUGGGGGUACCUGAAGUCGAUAACCGCAAGGAGUCGCCUAGGGUAAAACCGAUGACUGGGGCUAAGUCGAAACAAGGUA